Molecule: long non-coding RNA, 343 nt
Organism: Asparagus officinalis (garden asparagus)
Lineage: Eukaryota; Viridiplantae; Streptophyta; Magnoliopsida; Asparagales; Asparagaceae
Exons: 3
Source: RefSeq, a predicted model, not a curated record
ACAAAGAAAAAGAAACUGAAAAAUGAAUAAGAACAACGAUAUACUUGAGCUAUGAGUAACUCUCACCCAGAGACUUGGAAUCCAAUAUGGUAUGUAUCAAGGUGGAUAUAGAAGAGUGCCGAAGCUUAGCAAAGUCAGAGAACAUUAGCACAACGCCGGCCUUCAAAAUUUACAAGAAUGGUUCAAAUGUCAAAGAUAUUGCAGGAUCUGACUUCAAUCAGCUAUUAGCUAGAGCACUACAUUAAAAGUUUUGAAACUUUAGGGGUGAGCUUGUAAUGUGGGGAAACUUUAGCAUGAAAAAAAGUGUAAAUUGUUCAAGUAUCUAAUAGCUUGUAAUGUCGGG